RNAcentral lists this long non-coding RNA (805 nucleotides) under Monodelphis domestica (gray short-tailed opossum). RNAcentral's name for it is "lncRNA (ENSMODG00000033338.2)". Lineage: Eukaryota; Metazoa; Chordata; Mammalia; Didelphimorphia; Didelphidae. The record is from RNAcentral.
CACUGGGGGAUGCAGUUCCCCUAGCCACAGCACUUUUAAAUCCACAAGGGUAAAGAGGGAAUUUAUAGCUCCUACCCUCUCUGCUUUUUACAAGAGAGCUACUUACCCAUUUUCAUUUGUCGAGUUUAUGACUUCAGUUGUACAAAGCCACAUGCUUCAGAAAGAUGCUUAGACAGAAAGAUAACCAAAAGCAAUUUCAAGGAACAUAGCCACCGGCAGCAGAGAAGAGAGUCAGAUAGGAACUCAAGAGAUUUGAAGAAGAUGAAGAAUAGAGAUAUUAACUCACUUGGCCACGUUCAAAAAUGCAAUAUGGUACCGAGGCAGUAUUUGAACCCAAAUCUUUCCAAUUCCAAGUUCAGCAUUCUUUUUACUCUACCACAGAGCCACUGAAAGGCUAUUCAGUACCAGAACCAAGAUUUACACCCAGGUCCUCCUGACUUCAAAGACUAGUGCUGUUUUUCUUCCACAACGCAUUUCUUUAUUUGCCUUACCCACACAGUAUGUUUUGUAUUAUAUUCAUUUCUUCUUCUGACCAAUUAGUAGCUAUAUGUGAACUGUGAUUAUUUUAUUACAUACAUACUGUACUACCUAGUAUGGUGUCUUUACUCAUUAUAUGGCCUCAUUAAUUGUGCAUUAGAUUAUUAAAAAAUGCACUAAUAUGAAUUUAUUCCUGUACUGGAAGUUUUUGGUAUUUGUAUCCCUAGUAAAGUAGAUAAGCAUUUACUAGGUCUCAGGCAUAUAGUAGGGAUUUAACAAAUGAUUUUUUUGUUUCAAAUGCAUUGCUAACAUGUGCUUUCUAAGCACC